RNAcentral lists this ribosomal RNA (654 nucleotides) under uncultured bacterium. RNAcentral describes it as "bacterial SSU rRNA". It matches the Rfam family "Bacterial small subunit ribosomal RNA", at positions 72 to 740 of the family's 1533-position model. The record is from RNAcentral.
AGAGGAGCUUGCUUCUUGGAUCAGUGGCGAACGGGUGAGUAACACGUGAGUAACCUGCCCUUGACUCUGGGAUAACUGCUAGAAAUGGUAGCUAAUACCGGAUACGACCCUCGGCCGCAUGGUCAGGGGGUGGAAAGAAUUUUGGUCAAGGAUGGACUCGCGGCCUAUCAGGUAGUUGGCGAGGUAAUGGCUCACCAAGCCUACGACGGGUAGCCGGCCUGAGAGGGUGACCGGCCACACUGGGACUGAGACACGGCCCAGACUCCUACGGGAGGCAGCAGUGGGGAAUAUUGCACAAUGGGCGAAAGCCUGAUGCAGCAACGCCGCGUGAGGGACGACGGCCUUCGGGUUGUAAACCUCUUUUAGUAGGGAAGAAGCGAAAGUGACGGUACCUGCAGAAAAAGCACCGGCUAACUACGUGCCAGCAGCCGCGGUAAUACGUAGGGUGCAAGCGUUGUCCGGAAUUAUUGGGCGUAAAGAGCUCGUAGGCGGUUUGUCGCGUCUGCUGUGAAAUCCGGAGGCUCAACCUCCGGCCUGCAGUGGGUACGGGCAGACUAGAGUGCGGUAGGGGAGAUUGGAAUUCCUGGUGUAGCGGUGGAAUGCGCAGAUAUCAGGAGGAACACCAAUGGCGAAGGCAGAUCUCUGGGCCGUAAC